UCAGCAAUAUAUUUACAAGUAGUCAACCAGAUUAUACAGAUAUCAGCAAUCUUCCUCAAUGUGUUUUUCAACAUCUUCCUCUUCUGUCUUCCAGUAUCAUCAAUUCCAAAGUUGGCUUUUUACCAGUAUGCAAAGUGGGCAGUGAUAAUGUACUAGCAGUUUUAGUGUAUGUUUGCAAGGAAAUCAAUGAGUCAGUUAAAACCAGGCUACAUCAAGUCAUACAACAGG
Molecule: long non-coding RNA, 228 nt
Organism: Ruditapes philippinarum (Manila clam)
Lineage: Eukaryota; Metazoa; Mollusca; Bivalvia; Venerida; Veneridae
Exons: 3
Source: RefSeq, a predicted model, not a curated record